This 72-nucleotide transfer RNA is filed under the name Diaphorina citri (Asian citrus psyllid). It matches the Rfam family "tRNA". Rfam says of the family: Transfer RNA (tRNA) molecules are approximately 80 nucleotides in length. The record is from Rfam by way of RNAcentral. Lineage: Eukaryota; Metazoa; Arthropoda; Insecta; Hemiptera; Psyllidae.
GCUCCCAUGGCGUAGUGGUCACUGCACUCGCCUUGCACGCGGGAGACCCGGGUUCGAUUCCCGGCGGGGACA